GGGCAAUUGUGGGAUUUAAGUGUGAGAUUAGCUGAAACCCACGACCAGUUUUCAUACCAAUCGUCCUGCCUUCAAUUAGUCGCUUCAAUUCUCCCCUCCGUUUCCAUCCCACCCUCCUUAAGCUAUGGUUCAUGGUCAGAAAGAGAGAGAGCGACAAAUCGGAAGCGAUUGGAAGCAAGAUCGAUUUAGAAGCAGGCCCGACCAGAAGCUAGGGUUUUAAGUAUUCCAUUCAGACGAUGGCAAGAAAAGAACAUCAACAACAAUCAUCAACCAUCUUAGCUAGAGAAGUAGAGCCUAAAGAUGCCAUGAUAGGGCAGGGCGGGGCGACGCAUGCAGACAUUUUGGAUUGGCCACAACAUAUGUUUGGUUUUCAGGUAGUUGAUAAGCUUCAAUGGUAAUGGAGAUGGUGACACGGUAGGGAGUUAUUUUUGUGUGGUCCCUUUGUUCAAUGGAUUUUGACAAAGGUAUUUUUUAUAAUUUUUAUGAGUGUUCUUGGCCAUUUGUUUGCCAUCCUACGUAUAGAUAGCAUGAUUUUUAUAUAUGGAGUACAUUGGGCAUUUAAUCAUGAAAUAUAUGUGGAAUUAACUUAAGGUUUUAAUCUCAGUUUGCCCAGAUGCUUUUCUUUUUCAUUUUCUUUAUUCAUUUCACUUGGCUGUGAGCUGAACAAAAAAUCUGGAAAAUGCAUUUUUUUCUUUUUGUUUAUGGAUUUGAGUCAUUUUGUUUGAACUUUCUUAAUCAGGUUGUCUCUGUUUUUGUUCACUCAUGAUAGUUGAUCAUGACCGUGGGUUGCAUCAAGUACAGAAGGAGCCCUCUGUGUUUGGGAUUAGUUAUUUAAACUCUUGAUUGAUAGCUUGUUGAAUUCUUAAUAAGAGACCUGUUAUAUGUGUGAAGAUUAAAGCUAAAUAAUCAUUGACGGCUCAAGUUUUUAAAUAAUAUAUAUCAUUUCAAGCGUCAAGAAUAAUAAAGAACAACUAGGCCUGUCGCUGUGGCUGUGUUUCUUAAAGCUUUCGAAGCGACUUGGCGCGUGUUCGAGACUCCGCUCUCACGUCCUUUGGGAACAAGGUGGAGAAGCUUUGGGAUCUUUCAAACAUUACUGUGAAUAAGCAAGCUGUGUUUGGUGACAACAGUUCUUUGGCUCCAGCAGGUGUUUGUAUUGGUAUGUUUUUCAUCACCCAUAUAUACAUGUACUUAAGUAAUGCUCACAGCGUAUUAUAGGAGAAGCUGAAUGAGGUUGGAUGACAAUGUAAAAUUCAAGAAAGAAAGCAUGUAAAAUAGGUCAAAUAAACAGAUAGAUGGGGUUCGAUGGAUUCGGCGGUCAAGCAAGUUAGAAAUGAGAUCAAGGGAUGGUCAGUUCCAAACACGGGUCCGAAUGGUGUUUUGGAGUAAGUUAGCAGUGCCUAAGAUACACUGCAUCCGGCUGCCAUGGCUUUAGCAACUAGAGGCCUGGCGUAUGGCGAUAGUACAUGCCCUAUGUGCAGUGUGGCAGACGAGACGGCUGACCAUCUAUUAGCCAACUGUAUGACUACCAACGCAGUUUGUUGGAUGGUGUGCGUUUGGGAUAAAUCCCGAUGCCCAGCAGCUUUGAAAUUGUGAAGACGUUACUCGAUCAUGCCCAUAAUGUUGGCAGAUCAACUAAGGAGAAAUAAUAACGGGAUGACCCACUUAGAUACUAAUAUGUUGGAAGAGUUAAGGAGCACUCAUACGGUUGGAUGGUGUAUAGGGCCAAAUGCCCCUUGCUUUGGAAAAUUGGACCCAGCUUUGAGUCUGUAGUGUCUAAUUAGCUUUGUGUAUUGGUUUUGCUUUGUUUGGGGUCUAUUGAAAUGGCUUAGCUGCUUGCUAAGUUUUGUCUUUGUUUGGUUAAUAAAGUUUCUCCUUUUGUUGGGCAAAAAAAAAAAAAAAAAAA
Molecule: long non-coding RNA, 1903 nt
Organism: Helianthus annuus (common sunflower)
Lineage: Eukaryota; Viridiplantae; Streptophyta; Magnoliopsida; Asterales; Asteraceae
Exons: 5
Source: RefSeq, a predicted model, not a curated record